GAAGGGGGCUAGCGUUGCUCGGAAUUACUGGGCGUAAAGGGCGCGUAGGCGGACAGUUUAGUCAGAGGUGAAAGCCCAGGGCUCAACCUUGGAAUUGCCUUUGAUACUGGCUGUCUUGAGUUCGGGAGAGGUGAGUGGAAUGCCGAGUGUAGAGGUGAAAUUCGUAGAUAUUCGGCGGAACACCAGUGGCGAAGGCGACUCACUGGCCCGAUACUGACGCUGAGGCGCGAAAGCGUGGGGAGCAAACAGGAUUAGAUACCCUGAUAGUCCACGCUGUAAACGAUGAGUGCUAGUUGUCGGCAUGCAUGCAUGUCGGUGACGCAGCUAACGCAUUAAGCACUCCGCCUGGAGAGUACGGUCGCAAGAUUA
Molecule: ribosomal RNA, 369 nt
Filed under: uncultured bacterium
Lineage: Bacteria
Description: bacterial SSU rRNA
Rfam family: Bacterial small subunit ribosomal RNA
Source: RNAcentral